This is an unclassified non-coding RNA of Nomascus leucogenys (northern white-cheeked gibbon), 92 nucleotides long. It matches the Rfam family "Y RNA". From Rfam's summary of the family: Y RNAs are components of the Ro ribonucleoprotein particle (Ro RNP), in association with Ro60 and La proteins. The Y RNAs and Ro60 and La proteins are well conserved, but the function of the Ro RNP is not known. The record is from Ensembl. Lineage: Eukaryota; Metazoa; Chordata; Mammalia; Primates; Hylobatidae.
UGCAAAAACAGAUGGGUAACUAAUUGAUCGCAGCCAGUUACAGAUUUCUUUGUUCCUUCUCCACUCCUACUGCUUUAUUCGACUACCAUUUA